RNAcentral lists this transfer RNA (74 nucleotides) under Mus musculus (house mouse). RNAcentral's name for it is "tRNA-Lys". Lineage: Eukaryota; Metazoa; Chordata; Mammalia; Rodentia; Muridae. The record is from RNAcentral.
GGAGAGAUGGCUCAGUGGUUAAGAGCACUUGCUGUUUGUUCCAGAGGACCUAGGUUCGAUUCCCAGCAUCCAUA